UCUAAGGACCCUAGCGGUAGCCCACUCCCAAAAGAUCUGAUUUCCCUUAUACAUCUGAUCUUCCUACAAAAAAAAAAAAAAAAAAAAAAAAAAAAAAAAAGAGAAGCAGCCGCUGCUCAUCUUCUUCUCCUCAAGAAUCAAUCAAACUCAUCCAAAGAACUCCAUUAAUCUCACCUUGAGAGUUAGCAGCACCCCCACAAAAAUCCCACGUCUCAACCACCCUAGCUCCCUUGUCAAGCUUCAGCCGCGACCCCCCUCACUCUGAGAACAACCAGCCGCAACCUGCAAAGAAAGAAACAGACGAGAGAGAAAGUGAAAAUGGCGAAGCUCCAGCUCCAAUCACUGGAAAAGUAGCUACGGUUACUAUUAGAUGGACCAAUAUUACCUGCUUUCUCUCUGAUAAAUCCUCUAACACUGAAUUUGCUCUUCCAGAGGACACUAUAUUGGAAAAGAAAAUCAUCACUACCAGGCGUGGUAUCCGAGAAUUGUAUCGCAUCAGAGUAAAGGGUCAACACCCCAAGGCAGCUAAAUCGUUCCCAAAAGAAACUGGACAAAAACAGUUUCCUGAUCUUCGGUUAUAAAGAACCAACAUGAGCUGGUUCUUACGGAAGAAGUGAAUAAUGGUGGUAAUGGAUAUGCGACAUGUUAGAGGACGGUUAUAGGAGAUCUUACUAUUAUUUAAAUCCCACUUUUGCCAUUUUGUAUCCCAUCUGGAAAAAAACUCAAGAAUACUUCUUACUAAGCAAAAUAAAGAUCUCAAGGAAGAAGCAAUCUCAAUAAGAAUUAAUUAUCUUGGCUUUCUCUGCA
This is a long non-coding RNA of Nicotiana attenuata, 807 nucleotides long. RefSeq lists it as uncharacterized. The record is from RefSeq and is a predicted model, not a curated record. NCBI's taxonomy places the organism in Eukaryota, Viridiplantae, Streptophyta, Magnoliopsida, Solanales, Solanaceae. The transcript is spliced from 2 exons.